This 1294-nucleotide long non-coding RNA is filed under the name Pan paniscus (pygmy chimpanzee). RNAcentral describes it as "lncRNA (ENSPPAG00000044795.1)". Lineage: Eukaryota; Metazoa; Chordata; Mammalia; Primates; Hominidae. The record is from RNAcentral.
UCCAAACCCAUCCCUCCCCUCCCUGCUGGCUUAGGGACCGCUGCCCCAAUACCCGGGGGCCUAUGGAAGCGCCUCUUGGGUGCUACUCAGGGAGGUGGCCAUCCCGUCCACUUAACCCAGAAACUCAGAAAACCCAAAUGGAGCUCUCAGGCCACGCCAUCUGGCAAGCAAAGAAUGACCUGGGUAGACAGAUCCCCAAUGUCCCUCCCCGCGGAGAUACACGGACCCCAUUGCCCUCAAAAAGAGGUAACACCCUGGGACCCCUCCCCCGAGGAUGUGCGGCUCCUCGCAGAAAACGCAGACCCCACCCAAGUCCUGUCUUGACGCCCUCGGUUCCCGUCUGUGUCUCAAGGCGUUCCAGCGCGGCUCCCCAUACCCCAAAGAUGGACCCUCAAUUCUUCCGCAAGGCAUUCGCGGCCCCUGCUCAUCUCAGCCCCACCACUCUGGACGGCCCACUUCCCUUCGGCUGCUCCACGUGUCCCUACAAUCCGAGCCCACGGACCAAGCCUCCUUGGAGUGUCCAGCUGCCCAAAGCGGCCACCGCUACGGCUAUGAAAUAGAGGCAGCAUCGCACUCUUGAUAGAAAUGAGAAAAUUGAGACCCAGAUCGGGUAGAGGUCUUGUUUGGUGGCGAGGCCAGAAUGCCAAGCCCAAGGGCAGCCGCACAGCUUUCCCCCAGCCCCGCACCCUCCCCGGAAGGGACAAGCACCUCUAAUGCCCAAACCAGGGCCGGCCAUCAAGGCCCACCGUCCCCUGUUGCCCAGUCCAAACUCCCAGUCCAGAAAGUGGAACCCUAGGAGGGGACGGAGUGAAAAUAUACAGCCAGGCCCACCAGGCUCCCGGUUCCCCUCGCCGCCCCGGGGACUGCGCUAGGAGGGGCGUCGGUGUAGCCGAAGCGCUCCAACUACGCGCACCUUCCCGAAUCGCCCGCCAGGUAGGGGUGAACAAACACGCCGGGGAAAUACAGCAGUGUGGACCCGAGCCCCUCGAGGGUCCUCCAUACUAUAAAGUUCCCCCGCCCAGACUCAGGCCCCAACCCACGCUCCUAGCCUCGCCCUCCCCCUCGUUAAAAUACAGAGAACGCAGAGAAAACGUGCCGGGCUCCCCCCAUCCUGGCCCCACGCCAGGUGCUCUGCCGACCUCUGGGGAGAAUCCGCGCGGCCACCCCGGCGGCGGCGACGCGGUUCCUCCUCCAUUUUCACAGAUAAGGAAACUGAGGCUGGGGGAGGGGGAGGACCCAGAACCCCAGAGCCGGAUGCUCCAACCACGGUGCCCACCGCCCAGACCAGAACGCA